Molecule: ribosomal RNA, 913 nt
Filed under: Escherichia coli
Lineage: Bacteria; Pseudomonadati; Pseudomonadota; Gammaproteobacteria; Enterobacterales; Enterobacteriaceae
Description: partial 23S ribosomal RNA
Rfam family: Bacterial large subunit ribosomal RNA
Source: RNAcentral
GGUUAAGCGACUAAGCGUACACGGUGGAUGCCCUGGCAGUCAGAGGCGAUGAAGGACGUGCUAAUCUGCGAUAAGCGUCGGUAAGGUGAUAUGAACCGUUAUAACCGGCGAUUUCCGAAUGGGGAAACCCAGUGUGUUUCGACACACUAUCAUUAACUGAAUCCAUAGGUUAAUGAGGCGAACCGGGGGAACUGAAACAUCUAAGUACCCCGAGGAAAAGAAAUCAACCGAGAUUCCCCCAGUAGCGGCGAGCGAACGGGGAGCAGCCCAGAGCCUGAAUCAGUGUGUGUGUUAGUGGAAGCGUCUGGAAAGGCGCGCGAUACAGGGUGACAGCCCCGUACACAAAAAUGCACAUGCUGUGAGCUCGAUGAGUAGGGCGGGACACGUGGUAUCCUGUCUGAAUAUGGGGGGACCAUCCUCCAAGGCUAAAUACUCCUGACUGACCGAUAGUGAACCAGUACCGUGAGGGAAAGGCGAAAAGAACCCCGGCGAGGGGAGUGAAAAAGAACCUGAAACCGUGUACGUACAAGCAGUGGGAGCACGCUUAGGCGUGUGACUGCGUACCUUUUGUAUAAUGGGUCAGCGACUUAUAUUCUGUAGCAAGGUUAACCGAAUAGGGGAGCCGAAGGGAAACCGAGUCUUAACUGGGCGUUAAGUUGCAGGGUAUAGACCCGAAACCCGGUGAUCUAGCCAUGGGCAGGUUGAAGGUUGGGUAACACUAACUGGAGGACCGAACCGACUAAUGUUGAAAAAUUAGCGGAUGACUUGUGGCUGGGGGUGAAAGGCCAAUCAAACCGGGAGAUAGCUGGUUCUCCCCGAAAGCUAUUUAGGUAGCGCCUCGUGAAUUCAUCUCCGGGGGUAGAGCACUGUUUCGGCAAGGGGGUCAUCCCGACUUACCAACCCGAUGCAAACU